UACAGAGGUCACGAACGUUGUCCGGAUUUAUUGGGCGUAAAGCGCUCGCAGGUGGUUCGAUGCGUCGUGCGUGAAAGACCCCGGCUCAACUGGGGAGGGUCGUGCGAUACGGUCGAACUGGAGGCCAGUAGGGGGAUGCGGAAUUCCGGGUGUAGUGGUGGAAUGCGUAGAGAUCCGGAGGAACACCAGCGGCGAAGGCGGCAUCCUGGACUGGUCCUGACACUCACGAGCGAAAGCGUGGGGAGCGAUCCGG
Molecule: ribosomal RNA, 253 nt
Filed under: uncultured bacterium
Lineage: Bacteria
Description: partial 16S ribosomal RNA
Rfam family: Bacterial small subunit ribosomal RNA
Source: RNAcentral